This 336-nucleotide ribosomal RNA is filed under the name Streptomyces sp. SID8380. Its description in RNAcentral is "partial 23S ribosomal RNA". It matches the Rfam family "Bacterial large subunit ribosomal RNA", at positions 1220 to 1546 of the family's 2925-position model. The record is from RNAcentral. Lineage: Bacteria; Bacillati; Actinomycetota; Actinomycetes; Kitasatosporales; Streptomycetaceae.
UGUGAUGGGUAGGGGAGCGUCGUGUGCCGGGUGAAGCUGCCGCGUAAGCGAGUGGUGGACGGUUCACGAGUGAGAAUGCAGGCAUGAGUAGCGAUUCACACGUGAGAAACGUGUGCGCCGAUUGACUAAGGGUUCCUGGGUCAAGCUGAUCUGCCCAGGGUAAGUCGGGACCUAAGGCGAGGCCGACAGGCGUAGUCGAUGGAUAACCGGUUGAUAUUCCGGUACCCGCUGUGAAGCGUCAAACAUUGAAUCCAGUGAUGCUAAGCCCGUGAAGCCGCCCUGAUCUCUUCGGAGUUGAGGGGAGUGGUGGAGCCGGUGACCCAGGCUGGUAGUAGG